Molecule: long non-coding RNA, 2166 nt
Organism: Cicer arietinum (chickpea)
Lineage: Eukaryota; Viridiplantae; Streptophyta; Magnoliopsida; Fabales; Fabaceae
Source: RefSeq, a predicted model, not a curated record
UAGCUUGCUUUAUGAUAUCUUAUUAAAUCUCGAACCUAUUUGGAAAAUGAAAAAUGAUGUUACAUGUUCAAUUCAGCUAAUCAAGGUAGAGUGCUUCAUUUGCAUGAUCCCUUGAUUUAUGGUUUAGAAUAUAGCUAUUUUUAUACACUUUACACCAGCAACAAAUAUCAAGUUGAUUUCAUGUGAAUGUAUUUUGCAAGGGGUGGAAUUCUUAGAUGCAAGAUCAAGUAGAGCAUCAAGUUGUUUUACUAAUGAAAGAGUACAAAUUUGAUAGCUUUGUUGUUCUUAUGGGUAGCAUCUUUGUGAAAAUGGAAAAUGCUGCUUGAUGAGCUUGUGGGGCUGUUGGGGUGUUCCUAGUCAAGGUCUUGUGUGCAGGAGGGUCAUCAUGGGAAUUCAUGAUAAAUUGAAUAAAAUUUGGUUAAGUAUGUGACAUGUUAGUAGUUUUGGUGUUGCUGAUAAAAAAAAUAGGAUAGUAUGUUUGGCUGACCCUAGAUUUAGUUACGAGAUGGAUUUUUGAAGCACAAUGUAGCUUGUAAUAUUAAUUUUUUAUCCAUAUAAAAUUGGGAUAUGAUGCUCAGAUGAUCCUAAAUUUAGUCACGGGAUGAAUUCUUGACAGAAAAUGUGACAUAGUUUUUAUACAUAUAAAAUUGGGAUAGUGGGCUUCGAUGACACUCUAAAUUUUUCUCAAGAUAGACUCUUGGCACAUAGUGUGGCUUGCAAUAUGAAUUUUAUAUUUAUAUGAAAUUGAGAUAAUAGGCUUGGGUGACUCUAAAUGUAAUCACGAGAUAGAUUUUGACCCCAAAAAUUUUGCAAUAUGACUUUUGGAUGACCCUCAAGUUAAUCAUAUGAAAUUGGUAUAGUAGGUUUGGAUGACCCUCAAGUUAAUCACGAGAUAGAUUAUUGACCAAAAAAUGUUGCUUGUAAUGAGUUUUUAUUCAUAUGAAAUUGGGAUAGCAUGCUUGGACGGCCCUGGAUUUAAUCACGGGAUGGAUUCUAGACAUAAAAUGUGGCUUGAUAUAUGAAUUUUAUAUUCAUAUCAAAUUGUGAUGGUAUGCUUAGAUGACCCUAAAUUUAAAUAGUAUGCUUGGAUGUCCUUAAAUUUAACCAUGAGAAUGACCCUUGAUCUAAAAUGUGUCUUGCAAUAUGAAUAAUUUAUUCAUAUGAAAUUGGGAUAGUAUGGAUGGCAAUAAACUCUAAACGCAACUUCAAUAUGAAUAUUUAUUUGUAUUGAAUGACAAUGGCAAGCUUGCCUUUAGAAGAGAGUAUCGUGCUUCGAUGAUUUUGGACGUCAAAUUUGACAUUUGAGCUUAGAUGAUCCUAAAUACAAUAAAUUGGGUUGAUAAUAUUGUGCCUCGAUAACCAUUGAUGUUAAAUUUGAUAUUUGAGACUAGUAGAUUGCCUUCGAUAAAUGAAGAUGAUGAUGAUAUUGUGUUUCAAUCACCUUAGAUUUGAAAUUUGAUCUUGUGAUGAUGACAUUGGACCUUGAUGAACAUAUGAUCUUAAAGUAAAAAAUUGAGAUGUUGGUAUUGUCCCUUGGAUGCAAAAUUUAAUAUUUAGAGCAUAAAUGGUCUUAAAUAGAUUAGAGUGGUGGUAUUGUACCUUGACGACAUUGAUAAUUGAACCUAGAUGUUUCAAAUUAUACAUAGUUUUUUAUCAUUGUCUAUUGUCUUUGUAAUAAAGUGACAUGAGGAAUAUAAGUCUACUUUCUUAAACCUUGUUGGCUAUUCUUCUUUAUGCAUGCAAUUGUAUCAUUAGAAAUCUAUAUGUUGGUAGUAUUUAUUCAUCAGGAGUAAAAAUUCUAUAGCUUUGUUCUUAUGGAGAGCAUCUUUGUGAAAGUGGUAUAUGUUGCUUGUGGGACUUUUGGGUGUUCCUAGUCAAGGUGUUGUGUGCAGGUGGGUCAUCAUGGGAAUUUAUGAUAAAUUGAAUAAAAUUUGGUUACUAAUGUGACCAGUUAGUGGUUUUGGUAUUGUUGAUCCAAUUUUUCUAUUUGGUAGUUGUCUUAACAAAAUAAAAUUGGCUUGUAACAUGAAUUUUUUAUUCAUAUAAAAUUGGAAUAGUAUGUUUGGAUGACCUUAGAUUUAGUUACGAGAUGAAUUUUUGAACUAAAAUGUAGCUUGUAAUAAGAAUUUCUUAUCUAUAUGAAAUUGAGAUAGUAUGCUUGGAUGA